AAUAUUAUUUUGAGAUCAUAGGGUAUUCAUCUUGGUGGAAUCAUUAAUAAUUUUAAUUAUCAUCUUUAGUUCUAAAUGAUAGAUCUUAUUUAUGUGUAUUAAAGAUUAUAUGGUAUAUAUAUAAAACUUUAAUUCAAAGAUUUCAUUUCUAAGUUGAUCAAGAGAUCUUUUAUCAUUGUGGUUGAGGUUGCUAAUAAAAUCCUUGAUUGCUAUCUUUGAAUCAAGAUAAAAGAUCUUAUUUAUAUGUCAUGCCCCCAAC
Molecule: long non-coding RNA, 259 nt
Filed under: Elaeis guineensis (African oil palm)
Lineage: Eukaryota; Viridiplantae; Streptophyta; Magnoliopsida; Arecales; Arecaceae
Description: long non-coding RNA (EGUI_LNC033443)
Source: RNAcentral